AAAGUGCUUCCUUUUUGAGUG
Molecule: microRNA, 21 nt
Filed under: Oryctolagus cuniculus (rabbit)
Lineage: Eukaryota; Metazoa; Chordata; Mammalia; Lagomorpha; Leporidae
Description: ocu-miR-520e
Gene: ocu-miR-520e
Source: miRBase by way of RNAcentral